RNAcentral lists this long non-coding RNA (1160 nucleotides) under Musa acuminata (dwarf banana). RNAcentral describes it as "long non-coding RNA (MACU_LNC002881)". The record is from RNAcentral. Lineage: Eukaryota; Viridiplantae; Streptophyta; Magnoliopsida; Zingiberales; Musaceae.
UGCGCGCCAUCUCGCGUGCGCAGAUCGAUUCUAUUCUGGAUUUGGCACGGUGCACCAUCGUGUCUCAGCUGUCGAACAAGGACUUCGAUUCGUAUGUCCUCUCUGAGUCGAGCCUCUUUGUGUACCCCUACAAGAUCAUUCUCAAGACCUGUGGGACGACAAAGCUCCUCCUUUCCAUUCCCAGAAUCCUUGAUCUUGCUGCAGACCUCUCGCUCUCUGUUCUGUCUGCAAAGUACUCUCGUGGGACCUUCAUUUUCCCCGGCGCGCAGCCAUCUCCGCACCGCAGCUUCUCUGAGGAAGUCUCUGUCCUGAAUGGCUUCUUUGGCAGCCUCAAGUCCGGCGGUAAUGCUUAUGUGAUUGGUGAUCCAUCGAUGCCGAACCGGAAAUGGCAUAUAUACUAUGCUACCCAGAAACCUGAGCUGCCUUUGGUUACUCUGGAGAUGUGCAUGACCGGGCUGGACGCUGAACGCGCAUCGAUCUUCUUCAAGAACUCAGUUGAUGGCCAUAAUUCUUCUGCGAACGAGAUGACGAAGCUCUCUGGGAUCUCCGACAUCAUUCCUGAGAUGGAAAUAUGCGACUUUGAUUUCGAGCCCUGUGGAUACUCCAUGAACGGGAUUCACGGUCCAGCACUCUCUACAAUCCAUGUGACACCCGAGGAUGGUUUCAGCUACGCGAGCUACGAAGCCAUGGGGUUCAACCCUCACUCCUUGAAAUAUCACGACCUGGUCGAAAGAGUCCUCAGGUGCUUCGGCCCUUCUGAGUUCUCCGUUGCAGUCACCAUCUUCGGAGGACGUGGGCUGGCUGCCACAUGGGCGAAGAAGGUUGAUCUGCAUGGAUAUGCUUGCAAUGACAUGGUGGAGCAGGAGCUUCCUGGUGAUGGACUGUUGGUCUACCAGACCUUCGCCGCUUCCACUGCGACGGCAGAGUCACCAAGGUCCAUCCUGCAUCACUGGGAAGGAGUUACUUUGGAGAAUGCAGGAAAGGAUGGCAAAGGAGGAGUCUUCUCAGAACGUGAGGUGCUGGUGGAGAAGGGAGGGAAAGAUGAGAAGGGGAGAUUAUGAGAAAGGUGUUCUAUUCCUGUUUGCCUGUUGGUCUUUUUUGGCAAAGCAGCCGGCCAGGCUACUAUUAGUAUAUGCUUACGUGAAUAAGAACUCUGGGUG